This 468-nucleotide ribosomal RNA is filed under the name uncultured bacterium. RNAcentral's name for it is "partial 16S ribosomal RNA". It matches the Rfam family "Bacterial small subunit ribosomal RNA", at positions 29 to 523 of the family's 1533-position model. The record is from RNAcentral.
AAUGAACGCUGGCGGCGUGCCUAACACAUGCAAGUCGAGCGAUUUACUUCGGUAAAGAGCGGCGGACGGGUGAGUAACGCGUGGGUAACCUGCCCUGUACACACGGAUAACAUACCGAAAGGUAUGCUAAUACGAGAUAAUAUGCUUUUAUCGCAUGGUAGAAGCAUCAAAGCUUUUGCGGUACAGGAUGGACCCGCGUCUGAUUAGCUAGUUGGUAAGGUAACGGCUUACCAAGGCGACGAUCAGUAGCCGACCUGAGAGGGUGAUCGGCCACAUUGGAACUGAGACACGGUCCAAACUCCUACGGGAGGCAGCAGUGGGGAAUAUUGCACAAUGGGCGAAAGCCUGAUGCAGCAACGCCGCGUGAGCGAUGAAGGCCUUCGGGUCGUAAAGCUCUGUCCUCAAGGAAGAUAAUGACGGUACUUGAGGAGGAAGCCCCGGCUAACUACGUGCCAGUCGCCGCCGUAA